ACGUACAGGUUUCCGUAGGUGAACCUGCGGAAGGAUCAUUA
Molecule: ribosomal RNA, 41 nt
Filed under: Laccaria amethysteo-occidentalis
Lineage: Eukaryota; Fungi; Basidiomycota; Agaricomycetes; Agaricales; Hydnangiaceae
Also listed under: 2 other names
Description: partial 18S ribosomal RNA
Source: RNAcentral